UACGUAGGGGGCAAGCGUUGUCCGGAUUUAUUGGGCGUAAAGAGCGUGUAGGCGGUUUGGUAGGUCCGCUGUGAAAACUCGAGGCUCAACCUCGAGACGCCGGUGGAAACCAUCAGACUAGAGUCCGGAAGAGGAGAGUGGAAUUCCUGGUGUAGCGGUGAAAUGCGCAGAUAUCAGGAAGAACACCCGUGGCUAAGGCGGCUCUCUAGUACGGUACUGACGCUGAGGAGCGAAAGCCAGGGGAGCAAACGGG
RNAcentral lists this ribosomal RNA (253 nucleotides) under uncultured bacterium. RNAcentral describes it as "partial 16S ribosomal RNA". It matches the Rfam family "Bacterial small subunit ribosomal RNA", at positions 524 to 776 of the family's 1533-position model. The record is from RNAcentral.